CAAUAGCGUAUAUUAAAGUUGUUGCAGUUAAAAAGCUCGUAGUUGGAUUUCUGGUCUGAGCGUCCGGUCCGCCGCUGUGCGGUGUGUACUUGGUUCGACUCGGGCCUUCCUUGCAGGGAAUGUGUCUGGUCUUAAUUGGUCGGGUUCUGGAACUGCAUCGUUUACUGUGAAAAAAUUUAGAGUAGUUUAAAGCAGGCAUUUGCUGUGAAUAUAUUAGCAUGGAAUAAUAAGAUAGGACCUUGGUACUAUUUUGUUGGUUUGCGCACCAAGGUAAUGAUUAAUAGGGACAGUUGGGGGUAUUCGUAUUCCAUUGUCAGAGGUGAAAUUCUUGGAUUUUUGGAAGACGAACUACUGCGAAAGCAUUUACCAAGGAUGUUUUCAUUAAUCAAGAACGAAAGUUAGGGGAUCGAAGACGAUCAGAUACCAU
Molecule: ribosomal RNA, 427 nt
Filed under: uncultured eukaryote
Lineage: Eukaryota
Description: bacterial SSU rRNA
Rfam family: Eukaryotic small subunit ribosomal RNA
Source: RNAcentral